This 854-nucleotide ribosomal RNA is filed under the name uncultured bacterium. Its description in RNAcentral is "bacterial SSU rRNA". It matches the Rfam family "Bacterial small subunit ribosomal RNA", at positions 539 to 1398 of the family's 1533-position model. The record is from RNAcentral.
CGUUGUCCGGAAUUAGUGGGCGUAAAGAGCUCGUAGGCGGUUUGUGCGUCGCUGUGAAAACCUGAGGCUCACUCAGCCUGCAGUCGAUACGAGCAGACUAGAGUGUGCAGGGGAGACUGGAAUUCCUGGUGUAGCGGUGAAAUGCGCAGAUAUCAGGAGGAACACCGGUGGCGAAGGCGGGUCUCUGGGCAACAACUGACGCUGAGGAGCGAAAGCGUGGGGAGCGAACAGGAUUAGAUACCCUGGUAGUCCACGCCGUAAACGUUGGGCGCUAGGUGUGGGGCUCAUUCCACGAGUUCCGUGCCGCAGCUAACGCAUUAAGCGCCCCGCCUGGGGAGUACGGCCGCAAGGCUAAAACUCAAAGGAAUUGACGGGGGCCCGCACAAGCGGCGGAGCAUGUUGCUUAAUUCGAUGCAACGCGAAGAACCUUACCUAGGCUUGACAUGCACGGAAAUCCUCCAGAGAUGGUGGGUCCGUAAGGGCCGUGCACAGGUGGUGCAUGGUUGUCGUCAGCUCGUGUCGUGAGAUGUUGGGUUAAGUCCCGCAACGAGCGCAACCCUCGUUCUAUGUUGCCAGGACGUCAUGGUGGGGACUCAUAGGAGACUGCCGGGGUCAACUCGGAGGAAGGUGGGGAUGACGUCAAAUCAUCAUGCCCCUUAUGUCUAGGGCUGCAAACAUGCUACAAUGGCCGGUACAAAGGGCUGCGAUACCGCGAGGUGGAGCGAAUCCCAAAAAGCCGGUCUCAGUUCGGAUUGGGGUCUGCAACUCGACCCCAUGAAGUUGGAGUCGCUAGUAAUCGCAGAUCAGCAACGCUGCGGUGAAUACGUUCCCGGGCCUUGCACACACCGCCCGUC